This 301-nucleotide ribosomal RNA is filed under the name uncultured bacterium. RNAcentral describes it as "partial 16S ribosomal RNA". It matches the Rfam family "Bacterial small subunit ribosomal RNA", at positions 509 to 809 of the family's 1533-position model. The record is from RNAcentral.
CAGUAGCCGCGGGAAUACGAAGGGUGCAAGCGUUAAUCGGAAUUACUGGGCGUAAAGCGUGCGUAGGCGGUUUGUUAAGUCUGUUGUGAAAUCCCCGGGCUCAACCUGGGAAUGGCAAUGGAUACUGGCAAGCUAGAGUGUGUCAGAGGAUGGUGGAAUUCCCGGUGUAGCGGUGAAAUGCGUAGAGAUCGGGAGGAACAUCAGUGGCGAAGGCGGCCCCCUGGACAAAGACUGACGCUCAGGUGCGAAAGCGUGGGGAGCAAACAGGAUUAGAUACCCGUGUAGUCCCUGUCUCUUAUAA